CUUAAUAAGAGGCCUUUUUGAGCUUUAUAGGUAAAUAACGUAGCCCAUUAUUUCCAAGUUAAGAACUUCGUACUACAUUGUAGGCCUGGGCAUUUUACCCGUACCCGACAACCCGACCCGGAACCGACCCGAAAAACCCGGUUCGGGUCGGAUACGGAUAUAACCAAAUUACCCUAUUGGGUCUUACUUCUCAGGACCCGCGGGUAGAGUACCCGACCCGAAAAUUACCCUAUACCCGAUAGGGUUUUAUUAGACCCGAAACCAACCCUACCUACUUCUACUAUUCCCUUCCCCGAUGUACCAUUAAUCCCUUACUUUCCAAAAUCAGUUCCACUCCCCCAUAAGCAAUUGAAUCGAAGAGUUUGUCGAUUUAUAAAUUCCAAAGCCAAAAUCAAACAAUACAAACUGGAAUCUCAUCAGAAUCAAGUUCCCCUAACCCUACCCACUUCUUCAUCAGCAACAGCGUUGUCUACAAAUCGAACUAGGGUAAGCCUCGAACUUUUGAUUUGAAUCUUGUUUAUGUUUUUGGUUUAAUCCAAUUUUGAUUACUGAUUUGUGUUUAUGGUUUUGUUUUAACCCGAGUUUGACAUUCUUCUGUUCCUAUGUUCUGUCUAUACUUCUUUCUUUGAAGCUUCUUUGUUGUCUAUAAUGUAGAUGGCGUCUUCUGUUCCUAGAGUUUAAUGUUGUCUUGUCUAUAAUGUAGAUGGCGUCUUGUGAUGAUGGUUCAGAGUCCGAGUUAGAUAAAUCAGCAGAUGAAGUUGAGACUCCAAUCUCUCGCAAGAAAGCAAAACGUAAGAAACCAGAAGGCGCAAGUGGUUCAAGAUCAGAAAAGAAGAGGACGUCAAAGGUAUGGGAGCACUUCAGUAGAAAGAAAGAAGAUAAUGAUAGAGCCAUCUGCAACUACUGUGGGAAAGAGAUGGCAUGUGCAACAAAAUCAGGAACAACAAGCUUGAAGAAACAUGUGGCUCUUGCGUGCAAGUCUUACCAAGCAUGGCUCUCUGUGAACAAAGAAAAUAAUCAAGGAGCUUUAGAUGUCGGAGAAGAUGGUAACAUGAGAGUGUGCAAAGUUUCUGAAUCUGUCUUCAGACAAGCGACGAAUGAGAUGAUGGUUGUGGGAGAGUUGGCUUUAUCUUGGGUUGAGAGCGUAGCUUGGAGGAAUUUCUGCGAGAGAACUAAGCUGUACGUGCCUCAUUCUAGAAGAACAGCAACCCGUGAUAUUGUUGAGACCUUUGUGAAAAAGAAAGAGGAAAUGAAGAAGCUUCUUAACGAGAACAAGCAACGGCUGUCACUGACGACUGAUAUCUGGCUUGCUCCUCAUACCGGUUCCAGUUAUAUGGUGAUCACAGCUCAUUUUAUAGACAACUCAUGGCAGUUGAGGAAGCUCAUCAUUGGAUUCAAGAAUGUGUAUGAUCACAAAGGAUCAACAAUAUCUAAGGUACUUCUUGAUUGCUUAGAGGAAUGGGGUAUCAAACGAUUGUAUGGCAUAACCGUAGAUAAUGCCACAGCGAAUGGUUCAGCAUUGAGGAAGUUUAAGGAAGCUUUUAUUGAGAAAAAUGGGGAUGAGGCACUGGUUCUAGAUGGAAAGUAUCUGCAUUUUAGGUGUGCUACUCACAUUCUCAAUCUGAUUGUUAAAGAAGGUUUACUGGAGAUAGAGAGCAGUGUCAACGCCAUUCGCAAUGCCAUUUAUUUUGUGAGGUCUUCAACUCCGAGGCAGAUUUCGUUUGAGCGACAUGUAGAGUCACGACGAAUCCAGAGAGGGAGCUUACCGUUAGAUGUGAAAACUAGGUGGAAUUCCACCUAUUUGAUGUUAGAACAAGCAAUGAAAUUCAGGGUGGCUUUUAAGAAGAUGGAAGCUGAGGACAAGCCUUACAACGACUACUUCAAUGAAAUUGUGGAUGGAAAAAAACGAGUUGGACCACCAACUAAAGAUGAUUGGGAAGCAGUGGAUAGGUUAGUCCAGUUCUUAAUCAUUUUCUACAAAGCUACUUUGGUUUUGUCUGCAACAAACUCUAUUGCUGCGCAUAAAUUGUAUCAUGCGAUCGUCACAGUCACGAGAAACAUCACUGCUUUAAGCAAAGCUCCUGGUCCUGAUGAAGCUUUAAGGUCUAAGGCAGCAAACAUGUUAGGGAAGCUAGGCAAGUAUUGGAAUCCAUUUGGGACAAAUCCUGAGAAGAUGAAUAAACUUGUCAUUGUCGCUGGUGUUCUUGAUCCAACCAAGAAGAUGAAGGUUACCAAAAAGCUAUUUGAGAAGUUGUAUGGAGAAGGCUCGGUUGAGGUUACUCAUUUGGAAGAUGAAAUCGAGGACAUUUUGAGGACUUUGUUUGAUCUGUACAAUGGCAGUGGCAGUGGUGGUUUGGGUUCAACGUUUAAUAGUCAGUCUCAAGGUCAAGGACAAAGACCAUCUUCUCAAUCUCAAUCUCAGUCUCACUCACAAGAUCAGUUAGGAGAUGAAGUGUCUCAAAGGACAGUACUUGGUAAUGGGCUUGCCUACGAGAGCAUGAACGACAUCUACAAAGAGCUUAUUCAAGAAACCGGAUUUCAGGUAAAUACUAGUGAGUUGGAUACUUAUCUGAAAGAGAAUGUAGAGAUUCCAAACCUUUUAGGUGGUUUAGAGUAUGAUGUACUCUCUUUCUGGAGGGUUAAUAGUGCAAAGUAUCCGGUUCUAUCAUUGUUAGCUAGGGAUGUACUUGCAAUGCAAGUGAGUUCUGUUGCUUCAGAGUCGGCUUUCAGCACCAGUGGCCGAAUUUUAGAUCCAAGCAGAAGCUGCUUGACACACUAUAUGAUAGAGGUGUUGAUGUGCACAGAGCAGUGGCUCAAAUGUGAGAUUAGACUCAAAGGAAAAGGAACCCCAGGAAAAGAAAAAAUGCUUAAACUGAUAGAAGAAGAAGAUGCUCUUAUGAGAGGUAUAAUUUCUAGUUUCUAAUCUCUUUCAUCUUUAUGUCCACUAUAAUGAUCUUCACUGUUUUUUUUUUCAGAAUUUGAACCUAUCUUUCAAGCUUGAAAGCUACUGAUUGCGGCUGUUGGAGACUCAAGACUGAAUAUCAGUUUGUUGUUGUUGUUGUGUUUUCCUUCUCGUUGCCUAGUUUUUAUUUUUUGAAGUUUUACUUGGUAAGUUUGUUGUUGUUAAAUUGUUAUGUCUACUACUCUGCUUAUGAUUUAUGUUAAACUUGUGUGUGGGUUUUAUGACAUUUAUGUUAUGAAACUACUUGAUCAGUUUGUUAUUGUUGCUAUUAAGUUUAAAAUGUGCUAGUAAAAUUGUAAGCAUUGCUAUUGCAGGUCUGUAAAUUGUAAGCAUUGCAGGUAGCUAAUUGCAGGUUUUUAGUACAUCUCGGGCACACAAGGCAUUUUCUACCCGACAAUUCUAAUUUGUACCCGAAAUUAGAAAAAACCCGACCCGUAAAUCCAAAAAUAUACCCGAAAACCUCAAAACGACCCGAAAACCCGAUAACCAAACCGAAUUUUUUUUAAACCGAAAAAUGUCGGGUAUUACCGGGUUUUACAAUCAAGGACCGACCCGACCCGGACCCGGACGAACCCGAACCGACCCGAAACCGAAAAUUUAAAAUUACCCUAUCGGGUCCUCUACUCUUCAACCCGAAAGACCCGGACCCGGAAAGACCCGACCCGAACCCGACCCGAGGACCCGAAUGCCCAGGCCUACUACAUUGACUAGAGAAGUUGCUUUCGAGAUUGACAUUAUUACAAUAAAAAACGCUAAUCUUGUUGUAUAAUUCAUGUUUAUGCCCAUAUCUUGUCUUUAUCACAGAAUCGACGUUUGAAUCAUUGGGUCUGAGACAAGUGGAUCAAGCCCACUUUGCGACAUGGAAUAUUUUCGAAUUGUGUAGAGAAUAUCCUUUCUUGCUGCAUGCACACGUCAAUGAAGUCAUGAAGAAGCGUCUAGAUUAUGAAUUUUCUUUUCUGUGAACUAAGCUUGUAAGUUGUAACUUACUCAUCCUUAUUUUUUGAUACAAACUUUAAAGUUUGUAAUGGUAUCUUUAUAACUUACAGCCAAGGAAUAUGCUUUUUAUUUUUCAAGAUCUUUGAUUCUUUUUUUUUUUUCUCCUUGAUCGUCGUAUAUACAAGAUAACCUAGUUUAGUAACCACUUGCUCGCCAGUUUAUUAUUUUUUUUGUGGGGUGUUAUAGAUGGAUCCGGACGCGGUAAUGUCCUAAUCGUGUUAUAAAACUAUUAUUGUGUUUAUAGUUUAUUGUGUUUCCUUGUGUGCUUAAGAUGGGUGUGUUAUUCUGUUGGUUUCUAGUUAAGCAAAUUAAGUAUGUUGUAUUUGAAUAGUUAAGACUCAUUUCUUCUCUUUUUUUUUCUUAUAACAAGAUUUUGGAGACAUAUAUAUUGUAAACAAACGUGAAUUAAAUGUGAAAAACAAGAACAUUUGAUGAAAUUCUUUUUAUUGGUGCAAUGAGAUUUAAAUCAUUCUAAAAUUUAUUGUUUUUUUUUUUUAGUUUUGCGAAAAAGAUGAAUAAUGAAUUUUCAGUAAUUUUGAAUAGAACGGUUUGGAUAAAAUGAACUGAAAAGGUGUCGGUACAUUGGAUUUGGUUCCAUUGAUUGAAAAUGCUUUAGACACAAGUCAUAAAAUAUCAUUGUAUGUUUUGAUAAAAGUAACCCCGACUCCAAGAGGUUGAGUACAUUUCUAAAUCAAGAAAACUAAAAACAACAAAAGAUUCUUUGGCGGUCCCAUGAGGCUGAAGUUCGAAAAGCUAAAUAGACUUAAGAGUUGAUCUCUCUUUUUCUUCUUUUCAAUAUUAGAUUUCUUCUUCUUCUUUACAUCUCUUUCCGGUUGGUCUUAUAGUUUCAAAUGUCAUUACAGUUUCAUCAGCGAAUCUACGCAGAUAUUUUUUUAUUUUUAUAUAAAUUAAAAAUUAAUUUAUAUGGCAAAUUUAAAAACAUUAUGUUUUAAAUUUGAUUUUAUAUAGUUUGUAAUUGUAUAACAUUGUUGUUAAUUUUAAAAUAAUAUUGUUGUUCAUGUACACUAUUCUCUGAAGUUUUUAAAUUGGAUGUUAU
This 5015-nucleotide long non-coding RNA is filed under the name Brassica rapa (field mustard). Its description in RNAcentral is "long non-coding RNA (BRAP_LNC006031)". Lineage: Eukaryota; Viridiplantae; Streptophyta; Magnoliopsida; Brassicales; Brassicaceae. The record is from RNAcentral.